RNAcentral lists this long non-coding RNA (1009 nucleotides) under Equus caballus (horse). Its description in RNAcentral is "lncRNA (ENSECAG00000047874.1)". The record is from RNAcentral. Lineage: Eukaryota; Metazoa; Chordata; Mammalia; Perissodactyla; Equidae.
CCUGGGCCUGGGUGCAGAGUUAGGGGAACAGCUCCUUCAGCAGUGUCAGCACAAACCAGGGCCAAAGUCAAGGAAAACUAGGCAAGAAUACAGGAAAAGAGAGAAAGAAAGAAGGAAAGCACGCCCUUCCACUCCAUACCCUUCAGGCUUGGUUCUCACAGAAGCCUGGCUCUGCAGGAAGGCGACAAUGGAAGUUCUCCAGAGAGAAGGCGUCUCCUUCUAAUCCUGCACCCCGCACCCGAGUUAUCCCCACAAACCAGAACACAUUUACUCCCAGAAGAUGCUGUUUGUUGAAAUGGGGAGCUGGAGGAAGCAGGGCCAACGGGGCAGGAGAGAGGGGCAGGUCUGAAGAAAAUGUAGACAGAAAUGCCUCCAUGGGGUGAGGAUCCAGUGCUUCCUGUGAGGCUGGCUGCUGGCAGGAAGGCGGAGAAAGCAAAUUCUCCCGCAAGGGUGUGUUUCUGAAAGUGGCUGGGAUCUAAGAAGUGGGAGGUAUGGGAACGGAAUGCAUCUUUCUGUAUCUUGAUUGAAGAUCAAAACAACUUCUAUUCUUGCAAAUUCCCUUAGAAAUACAGCCUCAUGGGGAUCGAGAAAGGAAUUUAUUUCUUCACAAAGCUUACCAAGCAGCCUGGCUGGGAGCCAUUUGGCAGUUUCUCCAGCAGGAAACUUCUGGAGAAGCAACAGGGCCCCCUCCUCAUGCUACAGGACCAGACUGAGGGAGCUCAGUCUCUCAGUUCCUGCCCUGGGUAACCUCACAGACAGGGUGCAUCCUGGAGGUGCACAGGGCAGCUCCCCAGCUGACCCUCCAGUGACUGAGGAGCUUGCCAGGCAAGGUGAAUGGCCUAAACCUGAGCUGUUCAGUUUGGGAUUGCAGGGGCUCACAAUGCCCCCAGAUAAGCAUGCUAUAUGUGGACCACCAGUUUUACCCAAGGAGCUUUUGUGUGUGUGUGUUGGGGGGGAGGGGGUGGUUGGGUGGAUUUCUUUUGAAAUAAACAUGAAUGUUUUAUGGAAC